CAUGCAAGUCGAACGAGAGCGACCGGUGCUUGCACUGGUCAAUCUAGUGGCGAACGGGUGAGUAACACGUGGGUAACCUGCCCAUCAGAGGGGGAUAACAUUCGGAAACGGAUGCUAAAACCGCAUAGGUCUUCGAACCGCAUGGUUUGAAGAGGAAAAGAGGCGCAAGCUUCUGCUGAUGGAUGGACCCGCGGUGCAUUAGCUAGUUGGUGAGGUAACGGCUCACCAAGGCCGUGAUGCAUAGCCGACCUGAGAGGGUGAUCGGCCACAUUGGGACUGAGACACGGCCCAAACUCCUACGGGAGGCAGCAGUAGGGAAUCUUCCGCAAUGGACGCAAGUCUGACGGAGCAACGCCGCGUGAGUGAAGAAGGUUUUCGGAUCGUAAUACUCUGUUGUUAGAGAAGAACAAGUGCUAGAGUAACUGUUAGCGCCUUGACGGUAUCUAACCAGAAAGCCACGGCUAACUACGUGCCAGCAGCCGCGGUAAUACGUAGGUGGCAAGCGUUGUCCGGAUUUAUUGGGCGUAAAGCGAGCGCAGGCGGUUCCUUAAGUCUGAUGUGAAAGCCCCCGGCUCAACCGGGGAGGGUCAUUGGAAACUGGGGAACUUGAGUGCAGAAGAGGAGAGCGGAAUUCCAUGUGUAGCGGUGAAAUGCGUAGAUAUAUGGAGGAACACCAGUGGCGAAGGCGACUCUCUGGUCUGUAACUGACGCUGAGGCUCGAAAGCGUGGGUAGCAAACAGGAUUAGAUACCCUGGUAGUCCACGCCGUAAACGAUGAGUGCUAAGUGUUGGAGGGUUUCCGCCCUUCAGUGCU
Molecule: ribosomal RNA, 813 nt
Filed under: uncultured Granulicatella sp.
Lineage: Bacteria; Bacillati; Bacillota; Bacilli; Lactobacillales; Carnobacteriaceae
Description: bacterial SSU rRNA
Rfam family: Bacterial small subunit ribosomal RNA
Source: RNAcentral